Molecule: ribosomal RNA, 253 nt
Filed under: uncultured bacterium
Lineage: Bacteria
Description: partial 16S ribosomal RNA
Rfam family: Bacterial small subunit ribosomal RNA
Source: RNAcentral
UACGAAGGGGGCUAGCGUUGCUCGGAAUCACUGGGCGUAAAGGGUGCGUAGGCGGGUAUUUAAGUCAGAGGUGAAAUCCUGGAGCUCAACUCCAGAACUGCCUUUGAUACUGAGUAUCUUGAGUACGGGAGAGGUGAGUGGAACUGCGAGUGUAGAGGUGAAAUUCGUAGAUAUUCGCAAGAACACCAGUGGCGAAGGCGGCUCACUGGCCCGAUACUGACGCUGAGGCACGAAAGCGUGGGGAGCAAACAGG